GAUGAACGCUGGCGGCGUGCUUAACACAUGCAAGUCGAACGAAGCACUUUAUUUGAUUUCCUUCGGGACUGAUUAUUUUGUGACUGAGUGGCGGACGGGUGAGUAACGCGUGGGUAACCUGCCUUGUACAGGGGGAUAACAGUUGGAAACGGCUGCUAAUACCGCAUAAGCGCACGGCAUCGCAUGAUGCAGUGUGAAAAACUCCGGUGGUAUAAGAUGGACCCGCGUUGGAUUAGCUAGUUGGUGAGGUAACGGCCCACCAAGGCGACGAUCCAUAGCCGACCUGAGAGGGUGACCGGCCACAUUGGGACUGAGACACGGCCCAAACUCCUACGGGAGGCAGCAGUGGGGAAUAUUGCACAAUGGGCGAAAGCCUGAUGCAGCGACGCCGCGUGAGCGAAGAAGUAUUUCGGUAUGUAAAGCUCUAUCAGCAGGGAAGAUAAUGACGGUACC
Molecule: ribosomal RNA, 453 nt
Filed under: uncultured bacterium
Lineage: Bacteria
Description: bacterial SSU rRNA
Rfam family: Bacterial small subunit ribosomal RNA
Source: RNAcentral